GGCACAACAGAGGUGUAAGAUCGGUGGGUAGCAUAGAUAGGAUGGGAGUGGAGCUAGCUGGUUCCCACUGGUGGGGACUCCGAAAGGCAGAGCCCACUGAAGAGACUGAAGUGGCUUUGCAUGAAUUUUUAACUAGAAAACUGUUGCAAUCUACUAAAUGAAGGCCAUCGGCUCUCUGAUAUGCACUGCCAACUCCAACUUCUUCACACUUGAUCUCCAAGAUUUUUUGGCUGUAGAAGCUCAAGUGCACAUGCUUCAUAGAGAAACACAAAACUCUAAGCCCGACAGCCUACCCUGUAGACUGCUCUUCUCUGGAGGCCAUGGCCUGGAUGGCCCAAUAACACUUCCUAGACUAUGGAUGCUGAGUGGUCCUACAUGUGUUGUUGGGCUCUUGAUGGAUGACAGCAAGCCUCCCAGAAUGCAUCUCUCCUCACAUCAUUACUGUGUGGUUCUCAGUAUCCCUCCAGGUAUUCACAACAUCUCUGCAGGGCUGAUAUGAGUAGUCUUGGUAAAACUUUCUCAUUCCUAAUGAAAA
Rattus norvegicus (Norway rat) is the source of this 535-nucleotide long non-coding RNA. RefSeq lists it as uncharacterized. The record is from RefSeq and is a predicted model, not a curated record. Lineage: Eukaryota; Metazoa; Chordata; Mammalia; Rodentia; Muridae.